Molecule: long non-coding RNA, 220 nt
Filed under: Ananas comosus (pineapple)
Lineage: Eukaryota; Viridiplantae; Streptophyta; Magnoliopsida; Poales; Bromeliaceae
Description: long non-coding RNA (ACOM_LNC015130)
Source: RNAcentral
CAUAAUGGCUCACACGAGGGUAAGCAAUAGCCAUGAGUGAAAGAAUAGAAGCUAAACAUCUACACACGUACUAUGAUUCAUUUUUGAUCACAUACAUUGUAUUCAACCUUUACAUUCACGAUUCUUUACAUUGCUUUUCAUCAUUUGUUUUUACAUCACAUUUGCUCAUAAUAACACAUUACAUUCUUUUCUUUAACAUCUCAAAUCAUCGAAUACAAAA